GCUCUUGCUUGCUUGCACUGAUGAAGUAAGCUGCCACGUUGUGAGAUGCUCAACGAAGAGGCCCAUGAGGCAGGGCACCGAGGGAGGCUUCUGGCCAACAGCUCCUGGGGAACCAAGGCCUUAGGAAGUGAGUCCUGCCAACAAUAACGAGAGCCUUGAACUUUGAAACCACAGUACCUUGUUCCAGCGUGGAAAGCAGCGUGGCACUUCCCGGUGGUGAAAGCACCCCAGCUUGAAAGGGUGAAAACACCUUCUCCCAGAUAGUCUCCCUUUGUUUAGCCAGUGCUUUUGCCUUAAGGAAAUCAAAUGAAGGUAUGCUCCUUGGUUGGCUGCUGAAUCUGUCCUUCCUUGUCAGCUUUGCCCAGAGCAGCAGGCUUUGAGCUCUGGGAGGAUUUCCAGGUGGCAGCAGAACAACGGUCCCAUAGGCUGGAGCCUGGCACGCUUUCCCUUUUAACCAGUGGCAGAGGCUGCACUUUGCUGGUGUAAUUAUGCAACCUAGUGUAAAGUCCACAUGGGUGGGGAUAGGGGGUAGGCAAGGCAGGACUGUAAGCUGGCUCAGCACUCUGAUUGGGUUUUUUGACUGUUUUUCUAGCUU
RNAcentral lists this long non-coding RNA (595 nucleotides) under Homo sapiens (human). RNAcentral's name for it is "non-protein coding lnc-NUMB-1:14". Lineage: Eukaryota; Metazoa; Chordata; Mammalia; Primates; Hominidae. The record is from RNAcentral.